GACGAACGCUGGCGGCGUGCUUAACACAUGCAAGUCGAACGGUGAAGCGCCUUCCUUUUUGGUGGGUGUGGAUGAGUGGCGAACGGGUGAGUAACACGUGAGUAACCUGCCCCCUUCUUCUGGAUAACCGCAUGAAAGUGUGGAUAAUACGGGAUAUUCUGGGUCUGUCGCAUGGUGGGUCUGGGAAAGAUAUUGUUUCGGUGGGGGAUGGGCUCGCGGCCUAUCAGCUUGUUGGUGGGGUGAUGGUCUACCAAGGCGGUGGCGGGUAGCCGGCCUGAGAGGGUGGCCGGCCUGACAGGGACUGAGGCACGGUCCGGACUCCUACGGGAGCCAGCCGUGGGCAAGAUUGAGCAGUGGGCGAAAGCCUGAUGCAGCGGCGCCGCGUGUGGGAUGGAGGCGUUCGGGUUGUGAACCUCUUUCGCUAGUGAAGCAGGCCUGCCUCGUUUGUGGGUGGGUUGACGGUAGCUGGUUAAGAAGCGCCGGCUAACUACGUG
Molecule: ribosomal RNA, 494 nt
Filed under: uncultured bacterium
Lineage: Bacteria
Description: partial 16S ribosomal RNA
Rfam family: Bacterial small subunit ribosomal RNA
Source: RNAcentral